RNAcentral lists this ribosomal RNA (112 nucleotides) under uncultured bacterium. RNAcentral describes it as "partial 16S ribosomal RNA". It matches the Rfam family "Bacterial small subunit ribosomal RNA", at positions 118 to 231 of the family's 1533-position model. The record is from RNAcentral.
UGGGCAAUCUGCCCUUCACUCUGGGACAAGCCCUGGAAACGGGGUCUAAUACCGGAUACCACUCCUGCCUGCAUGGGCGGGGGUUGAAAGCUCCGGCGGUGAAGGAUGAGCC